GACGAACGCUGGCGGCGUGCUUAACACAUGCAAGUCGAACGGAAAGGCCCUGCUUUUGUGGGGUGCUCGAGUGGCGAACGGGUGAGUAACACGUGAGUAACCUGCCCUUGACUUUGGGAUAACUUCAGGAAACUGGGGCUAAUACCGGAUAGGAGCUCCUGCUGCAUGGUGGGGGUUGGAAAGUUUCGGCGGUGGGGGAUGGACUCGCGGCUUAUCAGCUUGUUGGUGGGGUAGUGGCUUACCAAGGCUUUGACGGGUAGCCGGCCUGGGAGGGUGACCGGCCACAUUGGGAAUGAGAAACGGCCCAGGCUCAACGGGGGGGAAAGAGGGGGGAAUAUGGCCAAAGGGGCGGAGUGCUGAGACAGCACCGCCGGGGGGGGAAGGACGGCUUUUGGGUUAGAAACGCAUUUGGCUUGUGACGAAGCGUGAGGGCGGGAAAUGGGUAAAAAACCCCGGGUAACUUCCGG
Molecule: ribosomal RNA, 467 nt
Filed under: uncultured bacterium
Lineage: Bacteria
Description: partial 16S ribosomal RNA
Rfam family: Bacterial small subunit ribosomal RNA
Source: RNAcentral